Long non-coding RNA from Perca fluviatilis (European perch), 382 nucleotides. RefSeq lists it as uncharacterized. The transcript has 4 exons. Lineage: Eukaryota; Metazoa; Chordata; Actinopteri; Perciformes; Percidae. The record is from RefSeq and is a predicted model, not a curated record.
CCGUUCGAGGGGCUUGUGACCUGUUUAGUGGUGGGACUCUUAAUAGCUCUGGUUUUCGUGUGACGUCUCAUAAAGAUGAAAUGCUCAGAAAGAAAAAUGAAUGCAGACAAUCCCCAACAGUACUUCAAAAAGAAUAAACAUCCACAUGAAGAAGAAGAACAGCUGCAGAGUGUGGCUGUGAUAAAUAAACACAGAGACAGUUCAUUGGACACUGCAGAGGAAAGUUCAAGGUCGAAUGAAAUCCAGUCCAAUUCUCGCACAUUGUAAGUUGUACAGAAAUGAAUCAGUCCAAGGUGAAUUUUGGGCACUGUGCUCUAAAUUGAACACCUGUUGGUCUGCAGCCUGCAUCACUAUCUUCCAGAGAUGUUACUGGACAGAGACU